Molecule: long non-coding RNA, 1580 nt
Organism: Vulpes vulpes (red fox)
Lineage: Eukaryota; Metazoa; Chordata; Mammalia; Carnivora; Canidae
Source: Ensembl
GAUUCUUUCAAGAUUAGGACUGUUCAACCAACACAUUUAACCAAUGGUCAGAACUUGUCAGAAAACCAGUCUGCAUAAAGGUGUAUUGAGUCACUUUCCCAGAACUCAGGUUAGCAUAUACUUGAAAUAUAUUGUAAAUUUAAGACCUAUUGAGAGUAAAAUACUUAGACACCUCUCUUUUCUCUUCCCUGAUCUUUGAUGUAUCAUAUAUGAAUUUUUAUAAUUAGAAACUGCUCAUCAUAGACUAAAAUAACUUGAAUUAUUGUUAAAACUAAGAUAUAUAUUAUGUGAUAAUUUUUCUUUAAACUACAUCCAACCGGGUGGUUCUUUUCCUUUCCUUAUUUUUGAGAUGCCCCAAGAAAUUAAAUUAAAAACAUAUGAUCUAGUUAAAACAUUAAUACCUCAAACAUAAGCCUGCAGAAAUCUAUAAAAUAAUGCAACCACUAUGUAAUAAUACCAAGAUGUUCAAAUACAAAAAGGUACCAUUUCAAAGUGGUUACUUCUGAAAGCAAAAACUUUAGUCAUCAAAGCUUCCAUUGAGUAAAACACUUUAAGAACGACCUUUUGACAUUACCUCCAGUGUUCAUUUACAAGUCAAAAGUGAAAACUAAUUCCACCAUUUUAUAGUUAAAUGUUAUAAGCCUACCAAUAUUGCUCCAAAAUAACACUAGGCAAAUUUCUUAAAAUGCUACAGUACUACUCCUGUACUAGGUCAUAAACAGAGUUGGAAUAAAUUCCAAAUAAUUUUUUUUUUCUUUAAAGGAAUGCUGAUCAGCCAUUCAUUGUGCUUACUUUCAGGGGUAAUAGUAAGAAUGAAACCACUAUGCCUGAUCAUGGGCCUUUUGGCUCUUGCAACAUGUUUCUUGCCCACUGAGAGUCACAGUGGUCCCAGGAGACGAUAUCCUUCUAGGCCACUGCCGCCUCCUCCUCCUUUUGGUCUAGGAUUUGUUCCACCCCCUCCUCCCUUAUGGCCCNNNNNNNNNNNNNNNNNNNNNNNNNNNNNNNNNNNNNNNNNNNNNNNNNNNNNNNNNNNNNNNNNNNNNNNGGAAGAAUUCCACCCCCUCCUCCACCUUAUGGCCCCGGAAGAAUUCCACCCCCUCCUCCACCUUAUGGCCCCGGAAGAAUUCCACCUCCUCUUCCACCCUAUGGCCCUGGAAGAAUUCCACCUCCUCCUCCACCUUAUGGCCCAGGUUAUUCAUAUCUACCUUUCCAACCAAGGCCUUAUCUGCCUGGAUCUCCAUUCAUCCCACAUAUUCCCUUUAUUCCUGUACCCCAAAUACAAACUACAACAGGCUCCAUUACAACCACAACAGAUGCCACUACCACCCAAACAGACUCCACCAUCCCCACAACCACUGCUUCGACUGCCCAGGAGACAACCACUGCUUCGACUGCCCAGGAGACAACCAGUGCUUCGACUGCCCAGAAGACAACCAGUGCUUCGACUGCCCAGAAGACAACCACUGCUUCGACUGCCCAGGAGACAACCACUGCUUCGACUGCCCAGGAGACAACCAGUGCUUCGACUGCCCAGAAGACAACCAGUGCUUCAACUGCCCAGAAGACAACCAUCGCUUUGA